UGCAGCCUGUGGCUCCGAUGUCUGUGAUAACAGACAUGUUUUAUGAACUCAAGCAACUUCCGGCCCCAAGGGGACUUGGCGUGGGUGUGUGCGCCACAAUGGUACAGUAACGAGGAUACAUAGUUAAAUCUCACAGCGUGACUGAAGGCCUUUGCUGCGUCUGACGUCAUCAUGGCAGCGCGCGUAAGGAAUGGAGAAAAUCAACCCUGGUGCAGAGCAAUCGAGUCCACAAGGUCCGACGGCGCAAGCGGACACGGGUACCACUGUGCGGGAUCCACGGGGCUCUCCUCACGCAGCUGUAAAGGCGUGCUGUUGGUGACUCGCUGUCAGACACAGGAAAGGGGCGCUGCAAAAGAGGGCUCUUAUCAUCAUGAAGGCUGAUUCAGCCACUGCCACUAGGCAGGAAGGGGGUUCUCUGACUAGGAAUGCUAGCCCUAAUUUACUGUCUUGAAACACACAGAUUGUACUGGCUACAGCACGAUACUGUCCUUGGGGCGCCAGGCUUACACAGGACUUCCUUGCUAGACUCUCGGCUGUCAACACUCAUUUCAUCUUCUUUUGCUUGCUGCCUGUGUGGACUUUGCACGGUUUCAGAAUCGUACCAGGCUUACUGCUUUCCCGUGAUACUUCUAGCGUUAGGUCUUGUUUUGUGUUCCUGUCAAACAUUCUGAAAUUAUUGUUAAGACCCAGUCACAACACCGUCAGAUCCAUUCCAACAACACUGAAUUUGUCAGACACAUGGUCCUUUUCACACAGUGCACAGCUUACUUCCAAGCUACUGGUGCACCUGUUACAUUUCCACAGGCAUUUUCCAUAAUUUUUUUUUUUUUUUUUUUUUUUUGAGAUGGAGUCUCACCCUGUGGCCCAGGCUGGCUUGCAGUGGCGCGAUCUCCGCUCACCGCAACCUCCACUCCCCAGGUUCAAAUGAUUCUCUAGCCUAAGGCUCCCAAGUAGCUGGGAUUACAGGUGUGUGCUACUGAGCCUGGCUAAUUUUUGUUAUUUUCAGUAGAGAUGGGGUUUCUCCUUGUUAGCCAGGCUGGUCUCAAACGCCUGACCUCAGGUGAUCUGCCUGCCUCGGCUUUGCAAAGUGCUGGGAUUACAGGCGUGAGCCACCGCACCCGGCCGCGUUUUCCAUAUUGAAGUUCCAACUUUUGACUAACAAAUGGUCUCUAUCAUCAUAUUUGACCACUAUGGCUGAAUUUUACGUCAGAAAUUAGGAGAUGAUUUCAGACAAAAAUGACCCGUUACUGGAAUCAUCAGGUUCUUCAGUGUAGAUGCCUAUCACAGAGGGCAGAUGCUCUCAUGUCACAUGAGCAAAUAGUUCCUUUACUGCUGCUAGAUACAGAUGUGUUACAGCUGUUCAGAUGGAAUUCUGCGGCUGAAAUCACCUGUUAGCUCUUCCAUAUUGUCAGGCUUGAUAUCCACAAUAUUAAAACUCCUGUCUAUAAUUUCCAGAUGCCAAAGACUUGAUUUUAAUCUGCAAAUCACCUGCAGAUAAAUAUGUUUCAAAAUCUCUAUUAACAGGAAUUGAGUUGGUGUGACCAGUAUGAGCACUGGCAGAUGCUCUUUGUGGAGUGACCGCAACCCCUAGACCCACGAGCCUAACGACAGGCACUCACAGUGCAGUAGCCGUGGUGGCAUCUCUACACACCCCAUCUUCCUCUUCAAGUUAUAUCCUUCUGGUCUUUUGUCCCUUUCACUGAUUUUCCAUAAUUGUAUUGUUUUAUUAUUGGUAGACAAUACCGAGCAGAAUUUUUCUCGGGGAAACCACCUAGCUUUGUUGAACUUUUCUUCCGUUUCUAAACUUUUCAAGUGGUCAAACUCUGGCUCAUGGUUCUGAAAGGUCCUGUAAACAUGGUAUUCCCUUCUGCUUAAGAUGAGAUUUUGUUCAUCUGCUCCUGUUGAAGGAUUAUGACUCUGCCACCUGUAUCUCCAGUUCCUACUAAUUCUCCAGAAUGAAUAAGUUCUACUGGGGAAGAAAAAAGCUAAUGAAAUAGUUAUGGUCAAUAGUUAUAGAAAAAUUAAUGAAAUUCCACACCACUCGUGACAUCAUCUGCUACAUCGUCAUCUAUUGCUCCUUUCACCUGAGAAACCUCUACUGAGUGUCAUCCCUCCUCCAGCUCCUGCCAUAGGGAAACAAAAAUACACAUAUGGCCCCAUUA
Molecule: long non-coding RNA, 2162 nt
Organism: Pan troglodytes (chimpanzee)
Lineage: Eukaryota; Metazoa; Chordata; Mammalia; Primates; Hominidae
Exons: 2
Source: RefSeq, a predicted model, not a curated record